AUGCCGCGGUGAAUACGUUCCCGGGCCUUGUACACACCGCCCGUCACACCACGAGAGUUUGUAACACCCGAAGUCGGUGAGGUAACCUUUUGGAGCCAGCCGCCGAAGGUGGGAUAGAUGAUUGGGGUGAAGUCGUAACAAGGUAGCCGUAUCGGAAGGUGCGGCUGGAUCACCUCCUUUCU
This 182-nucleotide ribosomal RNA is filed under the name Lysinibacillus fusiformis. Its description in RNAcentral is "partial 16S ribosomal RNA". It matches the Rfam family "Bacterial small subunit ribosomal RNA", at positions 1354 to 1533 of the family's 1533-position model. The record is from RNAcentral. Lineage: Bacteria; Bacillati; Bacillota; Bacilli; Caryophanales; Bacillaceae.